GACGAACGCUGGCGGCGCGUUUUAAGCAUGCAAGUCGAACGGUAGAGGGAGCUUGCUCCCUUUAGAAUGGCGAACGGGUGAGUAACACGUAGGUGAUCUGCCCUUGGGGUUGGGGAUAGCCUGUGGAAACACAGGGUAAUACCGAAUACGCUUUUCCGGUUAUGAUUGGAAAAGGAAAGGUGCUUCGGCACCACCCCAGGAUGAGCCUGCGGUCCAUUAGCUAGUUGGCGGGGUAAAGGCCCACCAAGGCGACGAUGGAUAUCCGGCCUGAGAGGGUGAACGGACACACUGGGACUGAGAUACGGCCCAGACUCCUACGGGAGGCAGCAGCUAAGAAUCUUCCGCAAUGGACGAAAGUCUGACGGAGCGACGCCGCGUGGAUGAUGAAGGCCGAAAGGUUGUAAAAUCCUUUUCUUAGUGAAGAAUAAUGUAAGGAGGGAAUGCCUUACAGAUGACAUUAACUGAGGAAUAAGCCCCGGCUAAUUACGUGCCAGCAGCCGCGGUAACACGUAUGGGGCAAGCGUUGUUCGGAAUUAUUGGGCGUAAAGGGUGCGCAGGCUGUGCUAUAAGUCAGGUGUUAAAGGUUAGGGCUCAACUCUAACAUGCCGCUUGAAACUGUAGUACUAGAGUUCUAGAGGGGAAGCUGGAAUUCCUGGUGUAGGGGUGAAAUCUGUAGAUAUCAGGAAGAACACCGGUGGCGAAGGCGAGCUUCUGGCUAUGAACUGACGCUGAGGCACGAAAGUAUGGGGAGCAAACAGGAUUAGAUACCCUGGUAGUCCAUACUGUAAACGUUGUACACUAGGUGUCGGGGUGUUAAUCUCGGUGCCGUAGCAAACGCGAUAAGUGUACCGCCUGGGGAGUAUGCCGGCAACGGUG
Molecule: ribosomal RNA, 876 nt
Filed under: uncultured bacterium
Lineage: Bacteria
Description: bacterial SSU rRNA
Rfam family: Bacterial small subunit ribosomal RNA
Source: RNAcentral